Molecule: ribosomal RNA, 253 nt
Filed under: uncultured bacterium
Lineage: Bacteria
Description: partial 16S ribosomal RNA
Rfam family: Bacterial small subunit ribosomal RNA
Source: RNAcentral
UACGUAGGGUGCGAGCGUUGUCCGGAAUUAUUGGGCGUAAAGAGCUCGUAGGCGGUUUGUUGCGUCGGCCGUGAAAACCUGCAGCUUAACUGUGGGCCUGCGGCCGAUACGGGCAGACUUGAGUUCGGUAGGGGAGACUGGAAUUCCUGGUGUAGCGGUGAAAUGCGCAGAUAUCAGGAGGAACACCAGUGGCGAAGGCGCCGCUCUGGGCCGUGACUGACGCUGAGGAGCGAAAGCGUGGGUAGCAAACAGG